CUUUCAGCUGCACAUCUCAAAGCCCUUUUCAAAGGCGUGGUCUCCUUUCUACAGAUGGUGUAACCCAGGCACAGAGAGAUUGAGGGGAGUCAGGGUCUGUGGGAGGCCGGAUGGAGGUGCUUUGUCUGGCCUGGUGGUCAGCAUGGUGUUCGGGACCCAGAGGCCAAUGGGCAGGUCAGGAGCCACGGUCAGCAGGAAACGAGCUGAAGUCGAAGACACAAAGACUAAAUGAAAGGAAGAAGAACAGAGAGGAGGAAAGAAAAUAAAUUAUUGGGAUGCCUGGGAGUCCCCUAGCUCUAUAUCCUCACCACUUGUUAGAGGAUGUUCAUUGGUGGUAAGUUCUGCCAUAGCCAUGUGCUACCCAGGGCAUCAACUCAAUUCUCCAUUUUCCUGCAUAGAUAUAUAUAGCAAUAACCAGCACCUGAAAUCUGGUGGUGUUUGUGCCACAAGCGAUUGAUCAUGUGAAGUCAUCACCUGAUGCCAUUUUAAAUUCCUGUAUUCACUAGGUUUGGGGGGAUUUUUUUUUAUGUUUUUUUUUUGUUUGUUUUAAAACUUCAAACACUGUUUCCCCAAGUUGGAACUUGUGUUGUUAGCCAGCUAGUUUUUGUUGAAGACUGACUAACUAGCGUGUACUGCCUACUCUGACGGUUUGGUAUGGAUAUUACAACUCAUACAAUGAACGGAAAGAUAGCUUAAAAUCCUAAACAAUUUAGUCAUCUGUUUUUUAUUACUUAUAAUUUCAGGAUCUGACUUUACUAUCCUUGGCAUUUAUAUAAUACCUCCCACCCAAUGAUCUCACUGUAUCAACUCGAAGCUUCACAAACACCCCAAUGAGGUAGGAAAGUAUUAGCUUCUGGGAGAAGAAGGAUGGGCUUAUGCUUAAAGUAACUAUGGCUCUAGAGAUCUGAUUUCAAUUCCUAGCUUUGCCACAAACGCCUUGUGUGAUCUUCCACAAGAACUUUCUGUGCCCCAGUUCUCCAUCAGUAAAGUGGGGGUAAUAGUACAUCCCUUGUCUAUUUAGAUUCUAUAUGGGACAAAUUCUCUUACUAUGUGUUUGUACAGCGCCUAGCAUAAUGGAGCUUCGAUAUCAGUUGAGGCCUCUAGGUGCUAGUGCAAUAUAAACAAUAAUAAUCUCUAUUUUAGAGAUGAUGAGCUGAGAGACAAAGUUGAAUUGACUUGUCCAAACUCUCUCAACAAGCUAAUGCCAGAGCUAGGAACUGAACCCAGAUUUCCUGACUCCCAAGUUAAUGCCUUAACCGCAGGGUCAUCCUUCCAUGUAAUAACCAUUCUUCUGAGUUUAUUUUUCAUUUUUUCUUUCCUCAAACUUCAUGCAACUUUUUGGCACCUGUCUAUGUAAGGCGGGGAAAUCAAAAUAUAUGGCCCCUGAAAGACAUUCCAGUCACUUUGCAAAGACUCCUGUAUUCCUGGUAUUUUAACGAGAUUUGCAUUGAGUCAAAAAAGACAUGAGAAACUAGUUCCCAGGAGAAGGGUUUGUGUUGAAAGGCGGCCGUAUUAACACAGUGUUACUUCGCAAAAAUAUCAGGAGUUGUUCAUUGGCUCACCUGAUUUAUUUACCAUGUAAAAUUAAAAUAAAUGGAAGAAAUUUGAAAGGGUGGAGAGCAGUGAUAGAAUUUCUUUGUGUUGUGGCAGGCGUCAGUGGGUGGCGCUGUUAUACAAUCUUCCAGUUUCUUUUUCGUAGUGCGCAAAGGAGUUUUGACUCUUGCGAAGCCAUGAGGUGGAGGUGUUGGAUUUUCGGUUACACAUAGAUUUGCCUAGACUUGGCAGCUUUGGGAGAGGUGGAGCGGUAUAAGCAGUGGGAAACUUUGUUCUCUGCCUUGGGCUCUGAUCUGAAUAUUUCUUGAGGCAGAGUUGCUCACUGGACAUUGAUAUUGGACUGAGAUUCCUAGAAGGGGUUGCCCUGUGUGCUGUUUCACCGUCUUAUUUCAGAACUGGUGUGUGUGUGUGUGUGUGUGUGUGUGUGUGUGUGUAAAGCAAGUUACAUUUAGAAUAUACCCCACCCUCUAUGUCACUGAUUUCUCCUCCACUGGGAAGCCAAAUUGGAAAGCCCCAGCAUUCUGCUAUCGCUCAGCUCGAUUGGGUUAAGUGUGCAGGUGCUAGGUGGUGGUUGUGGCCUGUGAGGUACAGGAGGUCAGACUAGAUGAUGGAAUGGUCCCUUCUGACCUUACACUCUAUGACACUGGCAUCAGAAUGGAAUGCUGGGAAUUCCUACAUGUCACUUCCCACCUCACUUCCUUUAAACCCUGGUGUGAAAAAUACAGCAAUGUCCUUGAAAAAUAUUAUUGCCUUUAUUAAAUUAAGUAUCUUCAGUGUCCAUUGUAUUAAUAAAAAGUGUAUGUAUUAUUGUG
Long non-coding RNA from Chelonia mydas (Green sea turtle), 2366 nucleotides. RefSeq lists it as uncharacterized. NCBI's taxonomy places the organism in Eukaryota, Metazoa, Chordata, Testudines, Cheloniidae. The transcript has 2 exons. The record is from RefSeq and is a predicted model, not a curated record.